Long non-coding RNA from Rhopalosiphum padi (bird cherry-oat aphid), 270 nucleotides. RefSeq lists it as uncharacterized. Lineage: Eukaryota; Metazoa; Arthropoda; Insecta; Hemiptera; Aphididae. The transcript has 3 exons. The record is from RefSeq and is a predicted model, not a curated record.
AAAACCUUUUCGGCCGAAUGUGCACUCGUUUCAUUCACAAAAGUCUUGAUAAUUUUUGGGUCACCGCAUAUAAAAUUCAAGUUAAAUAACUGAAAAUUGAUUAAAGAAGAAGAGCAUCAAUUACACUUUCCGAGAAAUUCAACUUAUCGGUCGAAUGUUUCUUUUAAACGCGAUUUCAGAAAAAAUGCGUCACAUAACUUUUGUCACAUGUGCGGUGUUUGAGUGCACGUUCUUUGUACACGAUGUGCGUUGAUCACGCGACCACCUCCC